UGUGGGGCCUGGGUGGAAAUAAACACUCAGAAAAACAACCUUUCCCCUCUCUCCGCCUGCCUUCCCGUCAUAACAACGCUAACUCUUCUGCGGGCCAAGUGAAUCCUUCUGCCCACUCGGGCAGAGGUCAGGAAGUGCGGAAGAGAAGGAAAACAAUUAAGAUUUCUAGACGUCCUUGCAAGACAGCCUUUGCUUAAUUCCGUGCAGUUGUCGGGGUUGCACAGAAAAGUGGGAUAAUUGAGAGCAUGGUGACCUUUGGAACUUCUCCGGAUGGCAAUUAUUAAAGGAAGAAGCCGCAGGUUUGGGGACAGUGAGAUGGCUCAGGCGUGGCUUCCGGUCUUGAGAGUCCGAGUUCGAAACUCUGGGAUACACACAGUGGAAGGAGAGAACCAACUCCUACCAAUUGCCCUCUGCCACUCGCAUGUGUGCCCACCCCUGGAAUUAAUUUUUUAAAAGUUAACAAAGCCCUCCCCAAGUUCUGGAAGGACCGAGAAAUAAGCGUGGCUGGCACGGCAGGCGUUUGAAGCACCACCGAGUGUGUCAGCUGACCGACUGCACAGCGUCCACCUGCGGGGACUGCAAGACACACAUGUUCAGCCCUGGAGCCAUUCUGAAUGGGGGAUGUAUGAGAGCCUCGAUUCCUGGAAACCUCUGCUCUUACAGAUAAUGAGAUUCAAAAUUCAUCAUCAUGAUUGCACAUUAAUUCCAUAAUUAGAAAAUAUUUAAUAGGAGACACGGAGUCUGCCAGCUCUAAUUGGACCAAGAGAGCCUUCAUCCAGUAACUGAUGGAAGCAGAUGCAGAGA
Long non-coding RNA from Onychomys torridus (southern grasshopper mouse), 804 nucleotides. RefSeq lists it as uncharacterized. Lineage: Eukaryota; Metazoa; Chordata; Mammalia; Rodentia; Cricetidae. The transcript is spliced from 4 exons. The record is from RefSeq and is a predicted model, not a curated record.